RNAcentral lists this long non-coding RNA (949 nucleotides) under Triticum aestivum (bread wheat). Its description in RNAcentral is "long non-coding RNA (TAES_LNC010818)". The record is from RNAcentral. Lineage: Eukaryota; Viridiplantae; Streptophyta; Magnoliopsida; Poales; Poaceae.
GACGAUGGCAUGGGCGGGAGGAGGAAGAAGGGCAUCAAGGAGAAGAUCAAGGAGAAGCUCCCUGGUGGCCACGGUGACCAGCAGAACACCGGUGGCACCUACGGACAGCAGGGUACCGGCAUGGCCGGCACCGGCGGCACCUACGGGCAGCAGGGUCACACUGGGAUGACCGGCACCGGUGGCACCUACGGACAGCAAGGCCACACUGGGAUGGCCGGCACCGGCGGCGCCUACGGGCAGCAGGGUCACACUGGGAUGACCGGCACCGGCGGCACCUACGGACAGCAAGGCCACACUGGGAUGGCCGGCACCGGGGCACAUGGCACCACGGCCACCGGCGGCACCUACGGGCAGCAGGGUCACGCCGGGAUGACAGGCACAGGGGCGCACGGCACCGGCGGCGGCUACGGGCAGCACGGCACUGACACCGGCGAGAAGAAGGGCAUCAUGGACAAGAUCAAGGAGAAGCUCCCAGGCCAGCAUUGAGCGCUGAGCAGAGCCCGCGGCCGCCACUUCUGAGAGUGGAGGUGCCGGUCGACCACCUUUGCAGAAUCAAUAAUAACAUGGCGAUACAAUAAAAUUCCACCAUACAACGUGAGCCUGGUUCACCGAGCUCACUUGCGUGUUGGAGGAGCCACCGUAUCUAGGCUCAAGUUUACGUGAACAACCAGUGUUGUUUGUUUUGAGUUUCUCGUCUGUUUACACUGUAUAAUCUUGUAAAUUUCCUUCUGGUUAAACCGUGUAUGUAUGCUUCGCGUACAGGUAAGUUAUUUUAUCAAAAAUAUAUACUCCUAUAAUAGCUUAAGAGCAUCAUAUGUAUUUCGGCCUUGUGAUGAAACCGGUGCACUGGGUCCGUGCCUUGGUUUCCGUAUUUGGAAAUUUCGGAAGGUUCUACAAAAAGAAGAAAAUACAUACAGGGCAUAUAAGACCAGUGAAUACACAAUACCAG